Pristis pectinata (smalltooth sawfish) is the source of this 483-nucleotide long non-coding RNA. RefSeq lists it as uncharacterized. The record is from RefSeq and is a predicted model, not a curated record. The transcript is spliced from 3 exons. Lineage: Eukaryota; Metazoa; Chordata; Chondrichthyes; Rhinopristiformes; Pristidae.
GCCAAAGUGACAGUAGUACCAAAGACAGCAAGGCAAAAAUUCAGUUCAAGUCAAUACCUUUAACCAAACUCAAUGACGAUGGUGGACAAGAAGUUGAUUCUUCUUGUCUGAGCUCACUGGCUCAGGCAUCAAGCAGUGACUUUGAACCCUCUGGAUCCACAACAGUGUCACAAGUAGAAGAGAUCAGACAACAUCUGCAAUCCCUGGAAGCAGAUUACCAGGAACUUGUUGCCCUUCUUUCGAGGCAUAGCGGGACUGUACCGGUACAUCGAAAGUUAAAGCAGAAAGGGCAGAACACAGUGAAACAUGGCAAACUGUGGGCACAGCUUAAAUUACAGCGGCAGAAAGAUAUUUGUACAGUGCAGAGAAGGUUUGCUCAUCUGGAAGCCCAUGUACUGCUGCUGGUUCGAAAUAUAGCUCACUUGACCGAAGAGAUUGGUUCUCAGAAUUCCCUGCUACAAAAAAUACAUUCGUUCCAACUUG